RNAcentral lists this transfer RNA (75 nucleotides) under Desulfurococcaceae archaeon AG1. It matches the Rfam family "tRNA". Rfam says of the family: Transfer RNA (tRNA) molecules are approximately 80 nucleotides in length. RNAcentral also lists the same sequence under 4 other names. Lineage: Archaea; Thermoproteati; Thermoproteota; Thermoprotei; Desulfurococcales; Desulfurococcaceae. The record is from Rfam by way of RNAcentral.
GCCGCGGUAGUAUAGCCCGGACAAGUAUGCGGGCCUUUCGAGCCCGUGACCCGGGUUCAAAUCCCGGCCGCGGCA